Molecule: long non-coding RNA, 1002 nt
Organism: Haliotis rubra (blacklip abalone)
Lineage: Eukaryota; Metazoa; Mollusca; Gastropoda; Lepetellida; Haliotidae
Exons: 2
Source: RefSeq, a predicted model, not a curated record
UGUCUACCUAAGGCUGUGCCGGUCGAACACCUGGUGGUCAGAGUGCAGGCUGUCUACCUAAGGCAUAUCAGGGAUCUGUGACUGGAAUGAUAUUGAAUGGUCAGGCCAAUGUCUGUCUGUGGCGGGAUUGUUCCUGACUGGUACAUUAUGCAUGUACAUAAUUAAGUGAAUCCUGAUACCACAAGUUACUGCAUAUCAAAUCUACGCACUCACAACUUAACAAAGCACAACAAAUGUGUUCAGAAUGUCUUUACAUUGAAUAAAUUGUUACAACAUCAGCUAGUUAUAUCAGCUCAUGUAGGUUCUCAUUUCCCCUUUCCCAGGCUGUGUGUGGUCCAUGAUGUAGUCAUGCUGUCUCAGAAUAAUGUGUCUGCCACCUCAACAUCUGUUUACAGUUAAUGGAUGCCGUCAAACACAACACUUCAAAGUGGGGCACUUAAAACACAGCUUGUUUUUUCACUCAACCUGCAUAUGGAAUACAGUGAAUCCCUCUUGUACCUUAUACAGGUGCAUGUUGCCAACAGUGUUGCCUUGUAAGUCUACAGUCUGUUAGUGUAGGAUAGUCAGCAAUCAGGUCAUGCUUGGAGUGUUCUACUUUGUUAAAUAACUGCACUCUUACUAGCCAUAGAAAUAAGCUUGCUCUUUAAAACCUUCAAAACAUCCCUAAUCAAAGGCCAGGUUUGAUGCCACGUCCUGAUACAAGUUUUAAAAGGUGUAUAUUUCCACCACUUUAUUGUGUCAAACAAUAAACACUCGCAAACUCACAGCCCGUAAAUCACACUUACACCCAAAAGCCACAAGUGAAACACAACAUUCAGUGAGGUCAGACAGGGAGUAGGAGUAGCUCUCCGGGAGAUGUAACGGUAGCUGUUAAACACCACAUGUAUGAUAAUAUAAGGUCACACAGGGAGUAGAGUCAGAUUUGUGGUAGACACAGUUGAAACACACUAGAGGUAGAGUGAGAUCACACACAAGGUAGUAUAAAUAAAUUUAAUCACCCUU